Molecule: RNase P RNA, 351 nt
Filed under: Clostridiaceae bacterium
Lineage: Bacteria; Bacillati; Bacillota; Clostridia; Eubacteriales; Clostridiaceae
Description: RNase P RNA component class A
Rfam family: Bacterial RNase P class A
About the family: Ribonuclease P (RNase P) is a ubiquitous endoribonuclease, found in archaea, bacteria and eukarya as well as chloroplasts and mitochondria.
Source: RNAcentral
UAAGCAAAUUAAAUAGUCGCGUAUAGCAAUGCCGAAAGGCUGCGUACGAGGAAAGUCCGGGCUCCAUAGAGCAAAGAUGCAAGAUAACGUCUUGUGAGGGUAACCUUAAGGAAAGUGCAACAGAAAAUAACCGCCUAUUUUAUAGGUAAGGGUGAAAAGGUAAGGUAAGAGCUUACCGCUUCUUUAGGCAACUAAGGAGGGUCAAUGUAAACCCCAUCUGGAGCAACACCGUAAAAGAAGGAUAAGACUGCUCGUCGUCUUCUAAAAUGGUGGCUUUGAGUCUUAUAGUGAUAUAAGAAGUAGAUAAAUGACUAUUCAUGACAGAACCCGGCUUACAGAUUUACUUAUGUA